GGCUGGUCCAAAGGUGGUGGUGUUAUCUGAAAUGACUGUUCACUCAGUUACAGAUCAAACUCCUUACUCUACUUUUCCUUUCCUUCUCACUACUGGUCUUAA
Unclassified non-coding RNA from Cercocebus atys (sooty mangabey), 102 nucleotides. It matches the Rfam family "Y RNA". From Rfam's summary of the family: Y RNAs are components of the Ro ribonucleoprotein particle (Ro RNP), in association with Ro60 and La proteins. The Y RNAs and Ro60 and La proteins are well conserved, but the function of the Ro RNP is not known. The record is from Ensembl. NCBI's taxonomy places the organism in Eukaryota, Metazoa, Chordata, Mammalia, Primates, Cercopithecidae.